UACGGAGGGGACUAGCGUUGUUCGGAAUUACUGGGCGUAAAGGGCUCGUAGGCGGCCAACUAAGUCAGACGUGAAAUCCCUCGGCUUAACCGGGGAACUGCGUCUGAUACUGGAUGGCUUGAGUUCGGGAGAGGGAUGCGGAAUUCCAGGUGUAGCGGUGAAAUGCGUAGAUAUCUGGAGGAACACCGGUGGCGAAGGCGGCAUCCUGGACCGAUACUGACGCUGAGGAGCGAAAGCCAGGGGAGCAAAGCGGG
Molecule: ribosomal RNA, 254 nt
Filed under: uncultured bacterium
Lineage: Bacteria
Description: partial 16S ribosomal RNA
Rfam family: Bacterial small subunit ribosomal RNA
Source: RNAcentral